CAGCAGCCGCGGUAAUACGUAGGGUGCGAGCGUUAAUCGGAUUUACUGGGCGUAAAGCGUGCGCAGGCGGCCCGUUAAGACAGGUGUGAAAUCCCUGGGCUCAACCUAGGAAUUGCGCUUGUGACUGGCGGGCUCGAGUACGGUAGAGGGGGGUGGAAUUCCUGGUGUAGCAGUGAAAUGCGUAGAGAUCAGGAGGAACACCGAUGGCGAAGGCAGCCCCCUGGGCCUGUACUGACGCUCAUACACGAAAGCGUGGGGAGCAAACAGGAUUAGAUACCCUGGUAGUCCACGCCCUAAACGAUGGGUACUAGCCGUUUGGUGCGCGAUAGCGCUGAGUGGCGAAGCUAACGCGUGAAGUACCCCGCCUGGGGAGUACGGCCGCAAGGUUGAAACUUAAAGGAAUUGGCGGG
RNAcentral lists this ribosomal RNA (410 nucleotides) under uncultured microorganism. RNAcentral's name for it is "bacterial SSU rRNA". It matches the Rfam family "Bacterial small subunit ribosomal RNA", at positions 509 to 917 of the family's 1533-position model. The record is from RNAcentral.